RNAcentral lists this ribosomal RNA (489 nucleotides) under uncultured bacterium. RNAcentral's name for it is "bacterial SSU rRNA". It matches the Rfam family "Bacterial small subunit ribosomal RNA", at positions 19 to 518 of the family's 1533-position model. The record is from RNAcentral.
AUGGCUCAGAACGAACGCUGGUGGCGUGUCUUAUACAUGCAAGUCGAGCGAGGCAGCAAUGCCGAGCGGCGAACGGGUGAGUAACGCGUAAGCAAUCUGCCCCAUAUCAGGAAAUACCCGUGCCAACGCGCGGUUAAUGUCCAGGAGAGUGGCCUUCCGCAUGGAGGGUUGACUAGAGAUUUAUCGGUAUGGGAUGAGCUUGCGUCCGAUUAGCUAGUUGGCGGGGCAACGGCCACCAAGGCGACGAUCGGUAGCCGGCCUGAGAGGGUGAUCGGCCACAUUGGGACUGAGAUACGGCCCAGACUCCUACGGGAGGCAGCAGUAGGGAAUAUUGCACGAAUGGGGGAAACCCUGAUGCAGCAACGCCAACCGUGUGGGAAGAAGCAUUUCGGUGUGUAAACCACUGUCAUGAGGGAAUAAGGCCCGCCUUCGGACGGGAUUGAAUGUACCUUGAGAGGAAGCACCGGCAAACUUCGUGCCAGCCGCCGC